Molecule: long non-coding RNA, 1005 nt
Filed under: Callithrix jacchus (white-tufted-ear marmoset)
Lineage: Eukaryota; Metazoa; Chordata; Mammalia; Primates; Cebidae
Description: lncRNA (ENSCJAG00000084756.1)
Source: RNAcentral
AUGGCUCACUGCAGCCCCGAAUUCCCAGGCUCAAGCAGUCCUCCUACCUCAGCCUUUCAAGUAGCUGGAACUGCAGGUGUGUACCCUCAUGUCUGGCUAAUGUUUUUAUUUUUCCUAAAGAUAGGGUCUUUUUCCUUGCCUUUCCCUUUUUUCUACCCCUCCCCUCCCCUCCCUUUCCCUCCCCUCCCCUCCCUUCCCCUCCCCCUCCACCUCCUCCCCUUUCCCUUCCCCUUCUUCCUUCUCCCUUUCCCAUUCCUGCUUCCUUCCCCUUCCCCUUUCCCCUUCCCCAUUCCUCCUUUCCCAUCCUCAUUCCUCCUUCCCCAUUCCUCCUUUCCCUUUCCACUUCCUCCUUUCCCUUACCCCUUCCUCCUUUCCCAUCCCCAUUCUUUCUUCCCCAUUCCUCCUUCCCCAUUACUCUUUCCCCUUCCCCUUCUCCCUUCCCCAUUCCCCAUUCCUCCUUCCCCUUCCCCUCCCCUUUCCCCAUUCCUCCUUCCCCUUCCCCUCCCCUUUCCCCAUUCCUCCUUCCCCUUCCCCUCCCCUUUCCCCAUUCCUCCUUCCCCUUCCCUUUUGUUUCCCCUUUCUUCUUUCCAUUCCCCCUGUCUUCCCCCCUCCCUUCCCCUUUCCUCUUUCCCCUUCUCCUUUUCCCUUUCUCCUUCCCCUUCCCUUUUCUCCUUCCCCCUUUCUCCUUCUGCUUCCCCUUUCCCCUUUUCCUUCCCUUUCCCUUUUCCUCUUUCCCCUUUCCUUUUCCCCUUUCCCCUCCCCCUUCCUUUUUCUUCUUUCUCUUCUCCCUUCCCUCCCCCUUCUCCUUUCCCCUUCUCCCCUUCCCUUUUCUCCUCCUUUAUCCCCUUUUUCCUUCCCCUUCCCCUUCCUCUUUCCCCUUUCCCCUUUGCUCUUCCCUUUUCUCUUUCCCCUUUUCCCUUCCCCUUCCCUUUCCCUUUCUUUUCUUCUUCAGGAUCUCACUCUGCUACCCAGGAUGGCGUGCAGUGGCAAGCCUCAAUCUACUAG